UCCUUGGUGAUUCAUAAUAACUUAACGAAUCGCAUGGCCUUGUGCCGGCGAUGGUUCAUUCAAAUUUCUGCCCUAUCAACUUUCGAUGGUAGGAUAGUGGCCUACCAUGGUUUCAACGGGUAACGGGGAAUUAGGGUUCUACUCCGGAGAGGGAGCCUGAGAAACGGCUACCACAUCCAAGGAAGGCAGCAGGCGCGCAAAUUACCCAAUCCCGACACGGGGAGGUAGUGACAAUAAAUACUAAUACAGGGCUCUUUUGGGUCUUGUAAUUGGAAUGAGUACAAUUUAAAUCCCUUAACGAGGAACAAUUGGAGGGCAAGUCUGGUGCCAGCAGCCGCGGUAAUUCCAGCUCCAAUAGCGUAUAUUAAAGUUGUUGCAGUUAAAAAGCUCGUAGUUGAACCUUGGGCCUGGUUGGCCGGUCCGCCUCACCGCGUGCACUGGUCCGACCGGGUCUUUCCUUCUGGGGAGCCGCAUGCCCUUCACUGGGUGUGUCGGGGAACCAGGACUUUUACUUUGAAAAAAUUAGAGUGUUCAAAACAGGCCUAUGCUCGAAUACAUUAGCAUGGAAUAAUAGAAUAGGACGUGUGGUUCUAUUUUGUUGGUUUCUAGGACCGCCGUAAUGAUUAAUAGGGAUAGUCGGGGGCAUCAGUAUUCCAUUGUCAGAGGUGAAAUUCUUGGAUUUAUGGAAGACUAACUACUGCGAAAGCAUUUGCCAAGGAUGUUUUCAUUAAUCAGUGAACGAAAGUUAGGGGAUCGAAGACGAUCAGAUACCGUCGUAGUCUUAACCAUAAACUAUGCCGACUAGGGAUCGGGCGAUGUUAUCUUUUUGACUCGCUCGGCACCUUACGAGAAAUCAAAGUCUUUGGGUUCUGGGGGGAGUAUG
This 883-nucleotide ribosomal RNA is filed under the name uncultured Helotiales. Its description in RNAcentral is "SSU rRNA". It matches the Rfam family "Eukaryotic small subunit ribosomal RNA", at positions 240 to 1127 of the family's 1831-position model. The record is from RNAcentral. Lineage: Eukaryota; Fungi; Ascomycota; Leotiomycetes; Helotiales.